RNAcentral lists this ribosomal RNA (509 nucleotides) under Salmonella enterica. Its description in RNAcentral is "bacterial SSU rRNA". It matches the Rfam family "Bacterial small subunit ribosomal RNA", at positions 1013 to 1522 of the family's 1533-position model. Lineage: Bacteria; Pseudomonadati; Pseudomonadota; Gammaproteobacteria; Enterobacterales; Enterobacteriaceae. The record is from RNAcentral. RNAcentral also lists the same sequence under 5 other names.
GGUGCCUUCGGGAACUGUGAGACAGGUGCUGCAUGGCUGUCGUCAGCUCGUGUUGUGAAAUGUUGGGUUAAGUCCCGCAACGAGCGCAACCCUUAUCCUUUGUUGCCAGCGAUUAGGUCGGGAACUCAAAGGAGACUGCCAGUGAUAAACUGGAGGAAGGUGGGGAUGACGUCAAGUCAUCAUGGCCCUUACGACCAGGGCUACACACGUGCUACAAUGGCGCAUACAAAGAGAAGCGACCUCGCGAGAGCAAGCGGACCUCAUAAAGUGCGUCGUAGUCCGGAUUGGAGUCUGCAACUCGACUCCAUGAAGUCGGAAUCGCUAGUAAUCGUGGAUCAGAAUGCCACGGUGAAUACGUUCCCGGGCCUUGUACACACCGCCCGUCACACCAUGGGAGUGGGUUGCAAAAGAAGUAGGUAGCUUAACCUUCGGGAGGGCGCUUACCACUUUGUGAUUCAUGACUGGGGUGAAGUCGUAACAAGGUAACCGUAGGGGAACCUGCGGUUGGA